CCUACGGGCGGCAGCAGUGGGGAAUAUCGGACAAUGGGGGGAACCCUGAUCCAGCCAUGCCGCGUGUGUGAAGAAGGCCCUCGGGUUGUAAAGCACUUUCAGUGAGGAAGAACGCCUGGUGGUUAAUACCCAUCAGGAAAGACAUCACUCACAGAAGAAGCACCGGCUAACUCCGUGCCAGCAGCCGCGGUAAUACGGAGGGUGCGAGCGUUAAUCGGAAUUACUGGGCGUAAAGCGCGCGUAGGUGGCUUGAUAAGCCGGUUGUGAAAGCCCCGGGCUCAACCUGGGAACGGCAUCCGGAACUGUCAAGCUAGAGUGCAGGAGAGGAAGGUAGAAUUCCCGGUGUAGCGGUGAAAUGCGUAGAGAUCGGGAGGAAUACCAGUGGCGAAGGCGGCCUUCUGGACUGACACUGACACUGAGGUGCGAAAGCGUGGGUAGCAAACAGGAUUAGAUACCCUUGUAGUC
RNAcentral lists this ribosomal RNA (465 nucleotides) under Vreelandella stevensii. RNAcentral describes it as "partial 16S ribosomal RNA". It matches the Rfam family "Bacterial small subunit ribosomal RNA", at positions 338 to 795 of the family's 1533-position model. Lineage: Bacteria; Pseudomonadati; Pseudomonadota; Gammaproteobacteria; Oceanospirillales; Halomonadaceae. The record is from RNAcentral.